AUUGAACGCUGGCGGCAGGCCUAACACAUGCCAGUCGAGCGGAGGAAGGGAGCUUGCUCCUGGAUUCAGCGGCGGACGGGUGAGUAAUGCCUAGGAAUCUGCCUGGUAGUGGGGGAUAACGUCCGGAAACGGGCGCUAAUACCGCAUACGUCCUGAGGGAGAAAGUGGGGGAUCUUCGGACCUCACGCUAUCAGAUGAGCCUAGGUCGGAUUAGCUAGUUGGUGGGGUAAAGGCCUACCAAGGCGACGAUCCGUAACUGGUCUGAGAGGAUGAUCAGUCACACUGGAACUGAGACACGGUCCAGACUCCUACGGGAGGCAGCAGUGUGGAAUAUUGGACAAUGGGCGAAAGCCUGAUCCAGCCAUGCCGCGUGUGUGAAGAAGGUCUUCGGAUUGUAAAGCACUUUAAGUUGGGAGGAAGGGCAGUAAGUUAAUACCUUGCUGUUUUGACGUUACCAACAGAAUAAGCACCGGCUAACUUCGUG
RNAcentral lists this ribosomal RNA (484 nucleotides) under uncultured bacterium. RNAcentral's name for it is "partial 16S ribosomal RNA". It matches the Rfam family "Bacterial small subunit ribosomal RNA", at positions 30 to 507 of the family's 1533-position model. The record is from RNAcentral.